CUGGAUUACUUUUUAGUUUUUUGUUGUGAGCAGCCCAAGGUCUGUUUUGAGCUAUUUGUAAAUUGAUUUAAAAUAUUGAGUUGGAUAUUAAGUAUUUUAACAUAAAUAUAUAUAAAAAUAUUAAAAAUAUUUUGUAUUGUCAUAUCUUGCCGUAUUCAUGUCCUCAUUUUUUAAAAAUUAUCGUGUCACCGUGUCCGUAUGGUGUUGUACCCGUAUUACGACACGAUAUAUGCUUCAUAGCUUGCCAUGCACCACAUCCAAGCUAGCCGUAUCAUUAGCCUUUCCUCUCUUACAUCUCUCAUAGAUUCUCAACAAUCUAUCUUUUAGUACAAUCC
This 335-nucleotide long non-coding RNA is filed under the name Gossypium barbadense (sea-island cotton). RNAcentral describes it as "long non-coding RNA (GBAR_LNC019973)". Lineage: Eukaryota; Viridiplantae; Streptophyta; Magnoliopsida; Malvales; Malvaceae. The record is from RNAcentral.